CAAUAGCGUAUAUUAAAGUUGUUGCGGUUAAAAAGCUCGUAGUUGGAGUUCUGCCAGGUGCCGCCUGUCCGCCCCAGUGGUGAGUACGUGGCGCGCAUUUGGCCCUUUCAAGGGGAGCGUAUCUGCACUUUAUUGUGUGGUGCGGGAUCCUUGACUUUUACUUUGAGGAAAUUGGAGUGUUCACGGCAGGCAUUCGCCUUGUACACAUUAGCAUGGAAUAAUAAUAUAGGAUCACGACCCUAUUUUGUUGGUUUCUAGAGUUGUGAUAAUGAUUAAUAGGGACAAUUGGGGGCGAUUUGUAUUAACACGUCAGAGGUGGAAUUCUUGGAUUGUGUUACGACAAACUACUGCGAAAGCAUUUGUCCAACGGAUGUUUUCUAUUGAUCAAGAACGAAAGUUAAGGGGAGUCGAAGACGAUCAGAUACCA
RNAcentral lists this ribosomal RNA (427 nucleotides) under uncultured eukaryote. Its description in RNAcentral is "bacterial SSU rRNA". It matches the Rfam family "Eukaryotic small subunit ribosomal RNA", at positions 592 to 1017 of the family's 1831-position model. The record is from RNAcentral.